UCAGCGGAGCCAGACGCGUGGGGGCUGCGCCACUGUGCACGCCCGCCUGGUCUUCUGGAGCUGAGGACUCGGGAAACCACGCAGUUGAGGCGAGCCUUGGGCUGCUUAGAGGCGCUGACAUCCGAGGAGCCUUUCCUGGGAUUGGAUGAUCAACGUUUGGGAGAAGUGAAAGAAGAGGGCAUAGAGCAGCUAAGCAGGACCGGCGACUGGGAGGGGCCCAGAGGCCUCCCCACACCUAUCUUCUUGGAAGGAGCUGGAUGUCGCUGAAGGAAAGUCGAAAAAUGAAAAAGGAUAACCUUUUCCCUUUCCCCAUCCAGGAAAUAGCUGAAGGAGGCCCAACAUCUGAAGGGAGCCCACCCGGCUCAGGGAAGACCUGACGGGUGCUAAGGCCACCCUGGAAAGCCACAUCCGAGUUGUAUUUCUUGAAGAGAUUGAGUGGGCAAGGCUAGGACAUUGGCCCUGGCAGCUGGUUGCCCAUGAACUGUCCUUUCUCCGGAGCUCCACAGCGCGGGGCCAUCUCCAGAAAACAGUCUCCCGCAUGUAUUUCCUUUUAUCCUCAACCCAGAACCCCACGGCAGCUAAUGCAAAAGGCCAAAAAUGUUCUGGAGGAAGAAAAACAAAGGCAGGAAGUGGCGGCGGCCUGACGGUUCGUGUGUGUCCGUGGAGAAGGGAGGGAGCCUUUUCAAUCUCUUCUUGUUGUUUUUCCAAACUUCAAGGUCUAGGCAGCCCUCGCAGGGCCGGGCCCUUUCGCUCCCCAAGCAGCGUUUGGAGACGGCCACCCGGAGAGGAGAAGGAUGGGUCCCGAGCCCGCCCUGUCAAGUGGAAACGGCUAACGAGGCGAUUUGCUCAGCAAAGCAGACCAAGCCUUCGCAAGGCUCCGUUUGAUUUGGCCCUAAAUGGGGGAGGGGGAGUUUGAGGGGUUCGGCAGUACCUCCCGGAUCCUCCUUGCUGCGGCUGAGUGGGCCCUGGUGGGGAUGAUUCCUGCGUCCUGCGCCCCACCCACCUUCCCAGGCAAGAUACUGGAAUAAAUUGCGUCCAGGUGCCUCUGC
Molecule: long non-coding RNA, 1049 nt
Organism: Mirounga angustirostris (Northern elephant seal)
Lineage: Eukaryota; Metazoa; Chordata; Mammalia; Carnivora; Phocidae
Exons: 3
Source: RefSeq, a predicted model, not a curated record